UACGUAGGUGGCAAGCGUUGUCCGGAUUUAUUGGGCGUAAAGCGAGCGCAGGCGGUUCCUUAAGUCUGAUGUGAAAGCCCACGGCUCAACCGUGGAAGGUCAUUGGAAACUGGGGAACUUGAGUGCAGAAGAGGAGAGUGGAAUUCCAUGUGCAGCGGUGAAAUGCGUAGAUAUAUGGAGGAACACCAGUGGCGAAGGCGACUCUCUGGUCUGUAACUGACGCUGAGGCUCGAAAGCGUGGGGAGCAAACAGG
This 253-nucleotide ribosomal RNA is filed under the name uncultured Trichococcus sp. Its description in RNAcentral is "partial 16S ribosomal RNA". It matches the Rfam family "Bacterial small subunit ribosomal RNA", at positions 524 to 776 of the family's 1533-position model. The record is from RNAcentral. Lineage: Bacteria; Bacillati; Bacillota; Bacilli; Lactobacillales; Carnobacteriaceae.